GGAAGGAUCAUUGUCGUGACCCUGACCAAAAUAGACCGUGCACGCGUCAUCCAGCCUGCCGGCGGCGGCACCGUUCGUCGCUCGGCCAAGUCCUCGACAACCUCCUCUCCUCGGAGUGGGGGCUCGGGGUAAAAGAACCCACGACGCCUAAGGCGUCAAGGAACACUGUGCCUAGCCCGGGGACGCGGACGGCUUGCUGGCCGCCCCUCGUGCUGCAAUGCUAUUUAAUCCACACGACUCUCGGCAACGGAUAUCUCGGCUCUCGCAUCGAUGAAGAACGUAGCGAAAUGCGAUACCUGGUGUGAAUUGCAGAAUCCCGCGAACCAUCGAGUCUUUGAACGCAAGUUGCGCCCGAGGCCAUUCGGCUGAGGGCACGCCUGCCUGGGCGUCACGCAAAACACGCUCCCACACCCUCAUCGGGUAGCGGGACGCGGCAUGUGGUCCCCCGUAGCGCAAGCUGCGGUGGGCCGAAGAUAUGGCUGCCGGCGUAUCGUGCCGGACACAGCGCGUGGUGGGCGACCUCGCUUUACUUACCGCAGUGCAUCCGGGGCGUAGCCGACGUGAUGGCCUCUAAGGACCCUUUGAACGGUGCGCACGACGCUCCGACCGCGACCCCAGGUCAGGCGGGACUACCCGCUGAAUUUAAGCAUAUAAAUAAGCGGAGGAGAAGAAACUUACAAGGAUUCCCCUAGUAACGGCGAGCGAACCGGGAACAGCCCAGCUUGAGAAUCGGGCGGCCGUGCUGUCCGAAUUGUAGUCUGGAGAGGCGUCCUCAGCGACGGACCGGGCCCAAGUCCCCUGGAAAGGGGCGCCUGGGAGGGUGAGAGCCCCGUCCGGCCCGGACCCUGUCGCAUCACGAGGCGCCGUCAACGAGUCGGGUUGUUUGGGAAUGCAGCCCAAAUCGGGCGGUAGACUCCGUCCAAGGCUAAAUACAGGCGAGAGACCGAUAGCGAACAAGUACCGCGAGGGAAAGAUGAAAAGGACUUUGAAAAGAGAGUCAAAGAGUGCUUGAAAUUGCCGGGAGGGAAGCGGAUGGGGGCCGGCGAUGCGCCCCGGCCGUAUGCGGAACGGCUUUUGCUGGUCCGCCGCUCGGCUCGGGGUGUGGACUGUUGUCGGCUGCGCCGGCGGCCAAAGCCCGGGGGCCUUAGGUGCCUCCGGUGGCCGUCGUCGGCACGGCCGGUACCCGCGCGCCGAAAGGCGUGUCCCUUGGGGCACUGCGCUGCAACGGCCUGUGGGCUCCCCAUCCGACCCGUCUUGAAACACGGACCAAGGAGUCUGACAUGCGUGCGAGUCGACGGGUUUUGAAACCUGGGAUGCGCAAGGAAGCUGACGAGCGGGAGGCCCUCACGGGCCGCACCGCUGGCCGACCCUGAUCUUCUGUGAAGGGUUCGAGUUGGAGCACGCCUGUCGGGACCCGAAAGAUGGUGAACUAUGCCUGAGCGGGGCGAAGCCAGAGGAAACUCUGGUGGAGGCUCGAAGCGAUACUGACGUGCAAAUCGUUCGUCUGACUUGGGUAUAGGGGCGAAAGACUAAUCGAACCAUCUAGUAGCUGGUUCCCUC
Molecule: unclassified non-coding RNA, 1560 nt
Filed under: uncultured fungus
Lineage: Eukaryota; Fungi
Description: sequence contains 18S rRNA gene, ITS1, 5.8S rRNA gene, ITS2, 28S rRNA gene
Rfam family: Eukaryotic large subunit ribosomal RNA (bases 610-1560)
Source: RNAcentral